UCAGUCGGCCGGACGGCCGCUCCCGCUGGUGCCGAAAGGCCGCGGGAGAGGAAAGUCCGGGCUCCAUCGACAUGCGGUGCCGGAUAACGUCCGGCGGGGGCGACCCCAGGGAAAGUGCCACAGAGAAUGAACCGCCCCGCUUCGGCGAGGUAAGGGUGAAAAGGUGCGGUAAGAGCGCACCGCGUUUCCGGCAACGGAGACGGCAUGGCAAACCACACCGGGAGCAAAACCGAAUAGGGACGGCAACGCGGUUAGUUCGCGCAUGCGCGAUAACACCGCAGGGCGAUGUCAGGCCCGCUGUCCGGGUAGGUUGCUCGAGGCAAGGUGCAAACCUUGUCCCAGAGGAAUGGCCGUCGCGUACCGUUCGCGAGAAUGGUGCCCUACAGAACCCGGCUUACAGGCCGGCUGAUAUU
This 413-nucleotide RNase P RNA is filed under the name Bradyrhizobium macuxiense. RNAcentral's name for it is "Bacterial RNase P class A". It matches the Rfam family "Bacterial RNase P class A". From Rfam's summary of the family: Ribonuclease P (RNase P) is a ubiquitous endoribonuclease, found in archaea, bacteria and eukarya as well as chloroplasts and mitochondria. Its best characterised activity is the generation of mature 5'-ends of tRNAs by cleaving the 5'-leader elements of precursor-tRNAs. Cellular RNase Ps are ribonucleoproteins. The record is from RNAcentral. Lineage: Bacteria; Pseudomonadati; Pseudomonadota; Alphaproteobacteria; Hyphomicrobiales; Nitrobacteraceae.